UACGUAGGGCGCAAGCGUUGUCCGGAAUUAUUGGGCGUAAAGAGCUCGUAGGUGGCUUGUCACGUCGGGUGUGAAAGCUUGGGGCUUAACUCCAGGUCUGCAUUCGAUACGGGCUGGCUAGAGGUAGGUAGGGGAGAACGGAAUUCCUGGUGUAGCGGUGAAAUGCGCAGAUAUCAGGAGGAACACCGGUGGCGAAGGCGGUUCUCUGGGCCUUACCUGACGCUGAGGAGCGAAAGCGUAGGGAGCGAACAGG
RNAcentral lists this ribosomal RNA (253 nucleotides) under uncultured bacterium. Its description in RNAcentral is "partial 16S ribosomal RNA". It matches the Rfam family "Bacterial small subunit ribosomal RNA", at positions 524 to 776 of the family's 1533-position model. The record is from RNAcentral.